RNAcentral lists this ribosomal RNA (2315 nucleotides) under human gut metagenome. RNAcentral's name for it is "bacterial LSU rRNA". It matches the Rfam family "Bacterial large subunit ribosomal RNA", at positions 150 to 2471 of the family's 2925-position model. The record is from RNAcentral.
UCCCUGCCAAGCAGGGAGGCUAACGGGGGGAACUGAAACAUCUUAGUACCCCCAGGAAGAGAAAACAACAGUGAUUCCCCUAGUAGUGGCGAGCGAACGGGGAACAGCCCAAACCGUCGCUGUCGCAAGGCAGCGUCGGGGUAGUAGGACCACGACCUUGUAUCAUGAUCGCGAGCAGAAGGUCCCUGGAAAGGACCGCCGCAGACGGUGAGAGCCCGGUAUGCGAAGCGUGAUUGGGCAUAGUGGUAUCCUGAGUAGCGCGGGACACGAGGAAUCCUGCGUGAAUCCGCCGGGACCAUCCGGUAAGGCUAAAUACUCCCGUGAGACCGAUAGUGAACGAGUACCGUGAGGGAAAGGUGAAAAGCACCCCUAGCAGGGGAGUGAAACAGUCCCUGAAACCAUGCGCCUACAAGCGGUCGGAGCUGCUUUUGCAGUGACGGCGUGCCUUUUGCAUAAUGAGCCUACGAGUUGCCAUGUCCGGCAAGGCUAAGGGCGAGUACGCCCGCAGCCGCAGUGAAAGCGAGCCUGAACAGGGCGCCGAGUCGGAUGGGGCAGACGCGAAACCAAGUGAUCUACGCAUGGCCAGGCUGAAGUCCCGGUAACACGGGAUGGAGGGCCGCACGGAUAAGCGUUGAAAAGCUUCCCGAUGAGCUGUGCGUAGGAGUGAAAGGCCAAUCAAACUUGGAGAUAGCUCGUACUCCCCGAAAGGCAUUUAGGUGCCGCGUCGGAUGUUCACCGCGAGAGGUAGAGCGACCGAUAGGACGAGAGGGCUUCACCGCCUAUCGAGUCCUGACGAACUCCGAAUGCUCGCGGUCCGCAGUCCGGCAGUAAGGGGGCGGGUGCUAAGGUCCGUCCCCGAGAGGAGAAGAAUCCUGACCGUCGUCUAAGGUCCCGAAAUUCUGUCUAAGUUAGUCUAACGAGGUCUGGUCUCAGUGACAGCUAGGAUGUUGGCUUGGAAGCAGCCAUUCAUUCAAAGAGUGCGUAACAGCUCACUAGUCGAGAGACCGGGCAUGGAUAAUAAUCGGGUAUUAAGUCAGAUACCGAAGGCACGGGGUAGCAGAGUAAUGAAAAGUACCGGUAGGGGAGCAUUCCACCUCCGUCGAAUGGUUUCCGUGAGGAUUCCUGGAGGGCGUGGAAAAGCAAAUGUAGGCAUAAGUAACGACUAGGGGCGUGAGAACCGCCCCCGCCGCAAGUCUAAGGUUUCCCGGGCGAUGCCAGUCAGCCCGGGGUCAGUCGGGUCCUAAGGCUCAGCCGAACGGCGAGGCCGAUGGCAGACACGGUUAAUAUUCCGUGACCCUCUGCUGGAGCGACGUGGAGACGGAGCAGUGACACCACCGCGCCCUGACGGAAUAGGGCGUUGAAGGCCGUAGGUGCUGAUGGAGGCAGGCAAAUCCACCUCCAGAGCUGAAAGCCGACAGUACGCUUCCUCCUUCGGGAGGCGGCGACAGCGUGGGUAACCAUACUUCCUAGAAAAUCCGCUAAGCAUAUCCAUCGGAGGCCCGUACCGCAAUCCGACACAGGUAGACGGGUAGAACAUACUGAGGCGUUGGGAGAUUCAUGGCUAAGGAACUAGGCAAACUGACCCCGUAACUUCGGGAUAAGGGGUCCUCACGGCAACGUGAGGCGCAGAGAAUAGGCCCAGGCAACUGUUUAACAAAAACACAGGGCUGUGCAAACUCGAAAGAUGAUGUAUACAGCCUGACACCUGCCCGGUGCCGGAAGGUUAAGAGGAGGAGUCAGCCCCUUGUGGGUGAAGCCCCGAGUUGAAGCCCCGGUAAACGGCGGCCGUAACUAUAACGGUCCUAAGGUAGCGAAAUUCCUUGUCGGGUAAGUUCCGACCUGCACGAAUGGUGUAAUGAUCCGGGCGCUGUCUCGGCCAUGAUCCCAGUGAAAUUGUAGUAUCGGUGAAGAUGCCGAUUACCCGCGAUGGGACGAAAAGACCCCGUGAACCUUUACUACAGCUUAGCGCUGACCUUGGUCAUCCGAUGUGUAGGAUAGGCCGGAGGCUUCGAAGCGGGGACGCCAGUCUUCGUGGAGCCGCCCUUGAAAUACGGCCCUUUGGCUGUCCGAGGUCUAACGCGCUUUUUGCGCGGACACCGCUUGGCGGGUAGUUUGACUGGGGUGGUCGCCUCCAAAAGUGUAACGGAGGCUUCCAAAGGUGCCCUCAGGCCGAUUGGUAACCGGCCUCUAGAGUGCAAUGGCAUAAGGGCGCUUGACUGGGAGGGAGACAUCCCGAGCAGGCAGGAAACUGGGGCAUAGUGAUCCGGCGGACGCGUAUGGAAGCUCCGUCGCUCAAAGGAUAAAAGGUACUCCGG